Molecule: ribosomal RNA, 899 nt
Filed under: uncultured bacterium
Lineage: Bacteria
Description: bacterial SSU rRNA
Rfam family: Bacterial small subunit ribosomal RNA
Source: RNAcentral
AGAGUUUGAUCCUGGCUCAGAAUCAACGCUGGCGGCGUGCCUCAGACAUGCAAGUCGAACGAUUAAAGCUCUCUUCGGAGAGUGUAUAGAGUGGCGCACGAGUGAGUAACACGUAAGUAAUCUACCUUCGAGUGGGGAAUAACAGUCGGAAACGACUGCUAAUACCGCAUAAUGCAGCGGCAUCGCAAGAUGACAGUUGUUAAAGGAGCAAUCCGCUUGAAGAGGAGCUUGCGGCAGAUUAGCUAGUUGGUAAGGUAAUGGCUUACCAAGGCUACGAUCUGUAUCCGGUCUAAGAGGACAGUCGGACACACUGACACUGAAUAACGGGUCAGACUCCUACGGGAGGCAGCAGUCGGGAAUUUUGGGCAAUGGGCGAAAGCCUGACCCAGCAACGCCGCGUGAAGGAUGAAGUAUUUCGGUAUGUAAACUUCGAAAGAAUAGGAAGAAUAAAUGACGGUACUAUUUAUAAGCUCCGGCUAACUACGUGCCAGCAGCCGCGGUAAUACGUAGGGAGCAAGCGUUGUUCGGAUUUACUGGGCGUAAAGGGCGCGUAGGCGGCGCGACAAGUCACUUGUGAAAUCUCCGGGCUUAACUCGGAACGGCCAAGUGAAACUGUCGUGCUAGAGUGCAGAAGGGGCAAUCGGAAUUCUUGGUGUAGCGGUGAAAUGCGUAGAUAUCAAGAGGAACACCUGAGGUGAAGACGGGUUGCUGGGCUGACACUGACGCUGAGGCGCGAAAGCCAGGGGAGCAAACGGGAUUAGAUACCCCGGUAGUCCUGGCCCUAAACGAUGAAUACUUGGUGUCUGGAAUUAUUAUUGUUCCGGGUGCCGUCGCUAACGUUUUAAGUAUUCCCGCCUGGGGAGUACGCACGCAAGUGUGAAACUCAAAGGAAUUGACGG